UUUUUUUUAUUAUUUUUUAUUUUUUUGAGACAGAGUCUCGCUGUAUCGCCCAGGCUGGAGUGCAGUGGGAUGAUCUCGGCUCACUGAAACCUCCACCUCCUGGGUUUAAGUGAUUCUCCUGCCUCAGCUUCCCUAGUAGCUGGGAUUACAGGCACACACCACCAUCCCUGGCUAAUUUUUUGUAUUUUUAGUAGAGACGGGGUUUCACCGUGCUGGCCAGGCUGGUCUCGAACUCCCAAACUUGUGAUCCACCUGCCUCGGCCUUUCCAAAGUGCUGUGAUUACAGGCGUGAGCCACCAUGCCCGGCCGGGUUUUAGUGUAUUUCUAAUGCUUCCACUUUGUAGAAAACAAGUGUAUGGGAGAGCCACAAGUAGAUCCCUGAAAAUGUAGUUGCUUUUAGCAAAACUGCUUAAUUUCUUUUUGAUGAGUGUGCUACGCAUUAUUCGGAAUUGUUUGGCUAAAUUUUCCUAAAUACACAUGAGGCUUAAAGGAAGAGUGUAGUUUAGGAGAAAUGGGUUUACUGACCCCUAGGAGAGAGGAACUUAAUGAAUCAGAAGUGUAUUGCUUCUCAUGCAUGAAAUAGGACUUCGAACCUCUCCCCCAUCGGUCAGAGCUGAGGAGCAUGAGUGAUCCGUUACAUUUUUUCUGGUCUGUUACAUCAUUGCUCCUGAAGGGUUUCCACAGAUACAACAUUAGCUUUUUGGGUAGCAGGGAAAGCUUUAUUUCUUUAUUGUCUUGACUCAGCAAUGCUCAGAAGAGCGCUAGGUAUACAGUAAGUACUUAAUACUUACAUAAAUGUUUAAUCUGUUAGGUGUUUAGGUUUACCCAACUAAACAGUGAGUCCAAGAAGGGGGUCUUUUCUAUGAGUCUGGACAUCCUCCACAUUUCUGGUUCUUCCUGUUUCUGUUCAGGGGGAGUGGGGGGGCCGCUCAGUGGGGCCAAGGAAGUCACAAAUGAGGUUCAUACACCCCUUAUUAAAGGCCCCUACAUGCCAGGCCUGGUCAAAGCCUCAGGAAUAGGCUCAGUGCAACAGAGCUGCUCAGCCAAGUGCACAAGAAGCCAGGCCAAGCGCACAAGAAGCCAGCCGGCAAACUGUACUGGAAGCCUUUAUACUCCUGCUUCCCAGGCCGGAGCUCUGAGCCCAGAGUCAUACAGAUCAGAGAUCUGGGGACAGGCAAGCAUUGUAGAGGGUCUCCUCCAGGGAGACUGGAUUACAAAGAAAACCUUUUGAAGCCUGGGGCUAUUUUCACCCAGGAAGGCUCAAGGCCUGGGGAUUGCCCAGCUCAUUCUCUUCUUCCCUUGGGUUCUGAACCCACGCCAGCACCUCCUGAGGCCCCUUAGUCUGAUGCUGGCCACGUAAACACACAGCCUUUGUACAAUGCCACACCAGUGGACUCUGUAUCAUUAAUCUGCAUC
This 1416-nucleotide long non-coding RNA is filed under the name Macaca fascicularis (crab-eating macaque). RNAcentral describes it as "lncRNA (ENSMFAG00000063562.1)". The record is from RNAcentral. Lineage: Eukaryota; Metazoa; Chordata; Mammalia; Primates; Cercopithecidae.